This 384-nucleotide ribosomal RNA is filed under the name uncultured Methylobacter sp. RNAcentral describes it as "bacterial SSU rRNA". It matches the Rfam family "Bacterial small subunit ribosomal RNA", at positions 355 to 732 of the family's 1533-position model. Lineage: Bacteria; Pseudomonadati; Pseudomonadota; Gammaproteobacteria; Methylococcales; Methylococcaceae. The record is from RNAcentral.
UGGGGAAUAUUGGACAAUGGGCGGAAGCCUGAUCCAGCAAUACCGCGUGUGUGAAGAAGGCCUUAGGGUUGUAAAGCACUUUCAAUUGGGAGGAAAACCUGCCGGCCAAUACCCGGUAGCUUGACAUUACCUUUAGAAGAAGCACCGGCUAACUCCGUGCCAGCAGCCGCGGUAAUACGGAGGGUGCGAGCGUUAAUCGGAAUUACUGGGCGUAAAGCGUGCGUAGGCGGUCCGUUAAGUCAGAUGUGAAAGCCCUGGGCUCAACCUGGGAACGGCAUUUGAAACUGGCGGACUAGAGUUUAGUAGAGGGGAGUGGAAUUUCAGGUGUAGCGGUGAAAUGCGUAGAUAUCUGAAGGAACACCAGUGGCGAAGGCGACUCCCUGG